RNAcentral lists this unclassified non-coding RNA (276 nucleotides) under Hevea brasiliensis (rubber tree). Lineage: Eukaryota; Viridiplantae; Streptophyta; Magnoliopsida; Malpighiales; Euphorbiaceae. The record is from RNAcentral.
UUUUUUUUUUUUUCCUUUUUUUUUAUUUUUACUGCUGUGAAUUUUUAGAUUUUACGGUUUGUUACUCGUGUACAAAAGCUUUCUGCUUAUUGGAGUCUUACGAGCCACGUAAAUAGUCUGUCUGGUGCUUAGCAGGUUUUUUGGAUUAUUUAACUUUAUUUAGAUUAUUAUAUUAUUUUUCAAAUAUUAAAAAUAAAAAUAAGAAUUAGUAAAUGAUGAUAAAAAUUUAAAAACAUGAUGUAGUCGGCUAGGAUCUUACGCUAUGAGUGAGUUUGG